AAGCAGAGGGGGCUUAGUGGUGGGGUGACUGCGUACCUUUUGUAUAAUGGGUCAGCGACUUAUAUUCUGUAGCAAGGUUAACCGAAUAGGGGAGCCGGAGGGAAACCGAGUCUUAACCGGGCGUUAAGUUGCAGGGUAUAGACCCGAAACCCGGUGAUCUAGCCAUGGGCAGGUUGAAGGUUGGGUAACACUAACUGGAGGACCGAACCGACUAAUGUUGAAAAAUUAGCGGAUGACCUGUGGCUGGGGGUGAAAGGCCAAUCAAACCGGGAGAUAGCUGGUUCUCCCCGAAAGCUAUUUAGGUAGCGCCUCGUGAAUUCAUCUCCGGGGGUAGAGCACUGUUUCGGCUAGGGGGUCAUCCCGACUUACCAACCCGAUGCAAACUGCGAAUACCGGAGAAUGUUAUCACGGGAGACACACGGCGGGUGCUAACGUCCGUCGUGAAGAGGGAAACAACCCAGACCGCCAGCUAAGGUCCCAAAGUCAUGGUUAAGUGGGAAACGAUGUGGGAAGGCCCAGACAGCCAGGAUGUUGGCUUAGAAGCAGCCAUCAUUUAAAGAAAGCGUAAUAGCUCACUGGUCGAGUCGGCCUGCGCGGAAGAUGUAACGGGGCUAAACCAUGCACCGAAGCUGCGGCAGCGACACUAUGUGUUGUUGGGUAGGGGAGCGUUCUGUAAGCCUGCGAAGGUGUCUCGUGAGGGAUGCUGGAGGUAUCAGAAGUGCGAAUGCUGACAUAAGUAACGAUAAUGCGGGUGAAAAACCCGCACGCCGGAAGACCAAGGGUUCCUGUCCAACGUUAAUCGGGGCAGGGUGAGUCGACCCCUAAGGCGAGGCCGAAAGGCGUAGUCGAUGGGAAACAG
This 859-nucleotide ribosomal RNA is filed under the name Salmonella enterica. Its description in RNAcentral is "partial 23S ribosomal RNA". It matches the Rfam family "Bacterial large subunit ribosomal RNA", at positions 568 to 1428 of the family's 2925-position model. Lineage: Bacteria; Pseudomonadati; Pseudomonadota; Gammaproteobacteria; Enterobacterales; Enterobacteriaceae. The record is from RNAcentral.